CGCUGAGUCACGGCCGUGCAGGUGCCGCCGUUCCCUGGGCGGGUCGGGCGUCGGGGAGCGGUGCCGGGCGGGUGUCCCUGUGCCCCCCCGGAUCCGUGAGGAAUGGCCGUGCCACUCCAGCUGCCCCGUGCCCACCUUUGCGGCAGCCUUAGCGGGCUCUUCCCCCUCUGGCUUGCCCCAAGAGGGGCAAAACCCCGACCAAUCCAUCCCCUCACCCUCGUGCUCUGCUCCAGACCUUACUGGCAGCCACGGACGCCCCUUUCUUCUGCCUCCACACCAAGUCGUGUCCCACCCCGCUCCCUCUCUUAACCCUUCAUCUAUCCUUUCCUUCUCGGACCUCCCUCUCCCUCCCCAAAUCCCUCCCUUCCCCACACUUACCCUGGGUCAUCCUCCUUCAUUCCCACGGCCCCCGCAGCCUCUCCCCUCCCGGCACCCCCUUGCCGUGAGCCACCAGCCCACCUCGGGUUCACGUCCCCUUUAAGCCUCCCCAGGCUGGAAUGCGAGAGGAGCAUUUCAGCGCCCUGUGAGGUCAGAUAAAGACACUAUAUUUAUCUGGCCGGUAACCUGAGCCCUGAAUUUCUGCGGUGGCAUUUUUUUUACGUGUGGCCCCACAGCCCUCGGGCUCGGCCCCCUCCAGCCACCGCACUCGCUCCCAGGGUAGAGGGGCUGAGCUGGGGGUGCCCUGUCCCCUCCAAAGGGCUCUGCUGCUGCCCAUCUCCACAUCUCCCCUCUCUGGGACCAGGGGAAGAUCCCAAAGGAGGCAGGAUCAGCCCCGUGGGCAUCACCUCAUGCCUGGAUGUUCGUCCUCCUGACCAGCCCUCGGCCGCCCACCCCACACGCAGUCAGCUCCUGCGGCUCCUGGCACACUCCGCUCUCCCUCUGCCCUGGGAUACACUUGGAUGUGACGUGGGGACUCGGCAGCACAGGCAGUCCUAGCAGAUGUGAUGUUCCUCCAUGGGAAGGGACACCAGGUACAGGGGAUCUGAGCGCCAGCACCGCCAGGACAGAGGAGCUCGGCUGGGGUCCUGCCUGCCCGGUGCCACCCACAGCCCCAGGACAGUCGAUGCCUCCAGGAGAGCCCUCUGAGCCCCAGCCUGCAGCAUGUCCCAACUCUCCUCCACCCUGAAGCGCUACGUGGACUCCUCCCGCUACACCGAGACCACCUACAGCAAAGUGCCCGGCGGGUACAGCUCCUACAGCUCCUAUGGAUCCACCCUGUCCUA
Molecule: long non-coding RNA, 1223 nt
Filed under: Manacus vitellinus (golden-collared manakin)
Lineage: Eukaryota; Metazoa; Chordata; Aves; Passeriformes; Pipridae
Description: lncRNA (ENSMVIG00005016985.1)
Source: RNAcentral